Molecule: ribosomal RNA, 468 nt
Filed under: uncultured bacterium
Lineage: Bacteria
Description: partial 16S ribosomal RNA
Rfam family: Bacterial small subunit ribosomal RNA
Source: RNAcentral
GACGAACGCUGGCGGCGUGCUUAACACAUGCAAGUCGAACGGAAAGGCCCUGCUUUUGUGGGGUGCUCGAGUGGCGAACGGGUGAGUAACACGUGAGUAACCUGCCCUUGACUUUGGGAUAACUUCAGGAAACUGGGGCUAAUACCGGAUAGGAGCUACUGCUGCAUGGUGGGGGUUGGAAAGUUUCGGCGGUUGGGGAUGGACUCGCGGCUUAUCAGCUUGUUGGUGGGGUAGUGGCUUACCAAGGCUUUGACGGGUAGCCGGCCUGAGAGGGUGACCGGCGACAUUGGGACUGAGAGAAGGCCCAGACUCCUACGGGAGGCAGCAGGGGGGAAUACUGCACAAGGGGCGGAAGCCUGAUGCAGCAGCGCCGCGUGCGGGAUGGCGGCCUUCGGGUUGUAAACCGCUUUCGCCUGUGACGAAGCGUGAGUGACGGUAAUGGGUAAAGAAGCACCGGCUAACUACGUG